Molecule: non-coding RNA, 625 nt
Organism: Durio zibethinus
Lineage: Eukaryota; Viridiplantae; Streptophyta; Magnoliopsida; Malvales; Malvaceae
Source: RefSeq, a predicted model, not a curated record
CCGUUGCGGAUACAACAGACCCGCAAAACCCGCAUCUUCGCGGUUUCUCUCUCUCAUUUUCUCUUGAACCAAACAAAAGAAAGAAAAGCCAAAUCUCUCUUAAAAACCCUCUUUUUUAAAUUAUACUCUAUUCGACGACUCUCAAUUGUGUCUGCAUCAAUCAAGUCAAACUGCUUUCUCUUCGAUAUUACUUUGCUUCACGUCUCAUUCAUAUACUGCUUAUACACUGAAAUCUGAAUAGGGAUUGAAUAUCGGUGAUGUUGGGCGCUUUAAGGAGAAAAGUUGCGAGCGGAGGCUCAUCACCUUUGGUAUUAAGGAAGUCAUUGCUGGUGAUUCGAUCGGGUGUUUCAGUAUCUAGAGUUUCUUGUAAUGCUGGAAAAGAGAUAAAUAAUUCAGUUGAAAAUGAAUUAGAUUUGGUAAUCAUGAACUUAGUUCAGUUUCUUUGAAUUUCAAUUGAUCUUGAUGCUAUUAAAUCUAUAACUGAUGUCGAAGAUGGUUGAUUUAUUUAGGCCUUGCAAUAUUAAAAUGUUGAUAUAAAGUAAAAGAAGUGCAAGAUCAUAUGGUAAAAUAUUCUCUUUUUUUUUUUCAAAAAUAAUUCAAACUUAGUCCUUUGAUUUAAAGUAAA